Heterocephalus glaber (naked mole-rat) is the source of this 807-nucleotide non-coding RNA. Lineage: Eukaryota; Metazoa; Chordata; Mammalia; Rodentia; Bathyergidae. The record is from RefSeq and is a predicted model, not a curated record.
UCUGCUCUCUGGCUACCGAAGGAUCUCUUAUUUCUCCUUCAAAAACCACCGGGUCAUUACCCUCUCUUCAAAGCCUGGGGGCACUCUGCCCACCUUACUCAAAAGCCGGACAGCCCCUCCCUCCUCCCUUAUACCUGGAGGAAGCAGCGGUGGUCUGAAAGUCAGAUGGGGUCACUAUACGCCAGCGGGUGUGGAGCAGGCUGUUGGGGACCCUCUCUAGGGAAUACCAAAUGACGGCCGGACUAGUGCACAGUGCAGCAUCCUGCAAAGACUCUGAGCCCUUCUGCUCCGGGGGCAAGGAGACCAUUGGGAAUCUGGGUCCUCCAGUGGAUUGGCCUGGAAUGGCUAAUUAGAAGCUUGACCUUUCACAUGUCUGGGGAAUGUGAGUCUCCAGAACCCAACAAGAUUGGAACAAGGAAGCUCAUACCCUCAAUGCUGUUGGCAGCCACUCUGUGGCCAUGAGAUCCAGCUUUAAAAUGAUCCUUUGAGUAACAGAGCAAAGAGGCAGAAAGAUACUUGGGUUUUGAUGACUUCAAUGGAUAUUGGAUCAGUCAAUACCCUGAAAUCUGUCCUCUGGAUUCUAGGUGAGUCAGUACAUCCUCUUCAUUUUUCAAACAAAUUUGAGCUGGUAUUGUCGUUUCUGUUGUAACAUAUGAUAGUUUAAAAAUAUGACCACAAAAUUUUCAUACUCUUCCUGUCUGGGGGAUUUUAACCUUUGUUAAAGGGUUUAUGAAUGUAAAGGGAUCAAUUUAGGAGAACCGGGUCUGACUUUCCAAUAUAUAUAGAGAAGCAUUAUUUUAAACAUGU